GAUGUACUCCCUGAACAACGAACAGCGGACUCAUAACUAAAACGGACUGUGGGAUGAAUCUUACUGAAAACCAGGGCGUUGAGAUGGUCAGGACUGUGGGGUGAA
RNAcentral lists this ribosomal RNA (105 nucleotides) under Cryptomonas curvata. Its description in RNAcentral is "partial Eukaryotic large subunit ribosomal RNA". Lineage: Eukaryota; Cryptophyceae; Cryptomonadales; Cryptomonadaceae. The record is from RNAcentral.